RNAcentral lists this unclassified non-coding RNA (386 nucleotides) under soil metagenome. RNAcentral describes it as "partial contains 5.8S ribosomal RNA, internal transcribed spacer 2, and large subunit ribosomal RNA". The stretch from base 1 to 120 matches the Rfam family "5.8S ribosomal RNA", at positions 35 to 154 of the family's 154-position model. The record is from RNAcentral.
GAUGAAGAACGUAGCGAAAUGCGAUAAGUAAUGUGAAUUGCAGAAUUCAGUGAAUCAUCGAAUCUUUGAACGCACCUUGCACCCUUUGGUAUUCCGAAGGGUAUGCCCGUUUGAGUGUCAUUGUACUCUCACACUUCUAAUUCCUUUCGGGAUUGGGAGCGGUGGACUUGGGUGUUGCUGCUUUAGUUGUGGCUCACCUCAAAUAAGUUAGUGCAACUCUUGGUUGGACAUAGUACGGCGUGAUAAGUGUCUUCGCCGGCGCCUCUGUAAGGAGGGUGGCCGAUCGGGAGCUCUGUGCUUCAAACCGUCUUCGGACAAUCUUUGACAACUUGACCUCAAAUCGAGUAGGACUACCCGCUGAACUUAAGCAUAUCAAUAAGCGGAGG